CAACGUGGGUACCUACCUUGAGGUGAGGAAUACCACCGAGAAAUCGGUGACAAGACCGCAUGACUUCUCUUGCGAGAAGAAAGUUUCUCUUCGGAGAGACGCCCCAAGAUGGGCCUGCGCCUGAUUAGCUAGUUGGUGAGGUAACAGCUUACCAAGGCGUCGAUCAGUAGCUGGUCUGAGAGGAUGAUCAGCCACACUGGGAUUGAGAACGGCCCAG
RNAcentral lists this ribosomal RNA (217 nucleotides) under uncultured bacterium. RNAcentral describes it as "partial 16S ribosomal RNA". It matches the Rfam family "Bacterial small subunit ribosomal RNA", at positions 113 to 334 of the family's 1533-position model. The record is from RNAcentral.